RNAcentral lists this ribosomal RNA (1094 nucleotides) under Bacillus sp. (in: firmicutes). RNAcentral describes it as "bacterial SSU rRNA". Lineage: Bacteria; Bacillati; Bacillota; Bacilli; Caryophanales; Bacillaceae. The record is from RNAcentral.
CGGGCGGGGUGCCUAUACAUGCAGUCGAGCGGACCUCUUCGGAGRUCAGCGGCGGACGGGUGAGUAACACGUGGGCAACCUGCCUGUAAGACUGGGAUAACUCCGGGAAACCGGAGCUAAUACCGGAUACUAUGUCAAACCGCAUGGUUUGACAUUCAAAGACGGUUUCGGCUGUCACUUACAGAUGGGCCCGCGGCGCAUUAGCUAGUUGGUGAGGUAAUGGCUCACCAAGGCGACGAUGCGUAGCCGACCUGAGAGGGUGAUCGGCCACACUGGGACUGAGACACGGCCCAGACUCCUACGGGAGGCAGCAGUAGGGAAUCUUCCGCAAUGGACGAAAGUCUGACGGAGCAACGCCGCGUGAGUGAUGAAGGUUUUCGGAUCGUAAAACUCUGUUGUCAGGGAAGAACAAGUGCCGGAGUAACUGCCGGCACCUUGACGGUACCUGACCAGAAAGCCACGGCUAACUACGUGCCAGCAGCCGCGGUAAUACGUAGGUGGCAAGCGUUGUCCGGAAUUAUUGGGCGUAAAGCGCGCGCAGGCGGUUUCUUAAGUCUGAUGUGAAAGCCCCCGGCUCAACCGGGGAGGGUCAUUGGAAACUGGGAAACUUGAGUGCAGAAGAGGAGAGUGGAAUUCCACGUGUAGCGGUGAAAUGCGUAGAGAUGUGGAGGAACACCAGUGGCGAAGGCGACUCUCUGGUCUGUAACUGACGCUGAGGCGCGAAAGCGUGGGGAGCGAACAGGAUUAGAUACCCUGGUAGUCCACGCCGUAAACGAUGAGUGCUAAGUGUUAGAGGGUUUCCGCCCUUUAGUGCUGCAGCUAACGCAUUAAGCACUCCGCCUGGGGGAGUACGGUCGCAAGACUGAAACUCAAAGGAAUUGACGGGGGCCCGGCACAAGCGGGUGGAGCAUGUGGUUUAAUUCGAAGGCAACGCGAAAGAACCUUUACCAGUCUUGACAUCCCUUUGCUACUUUCUAGAGAUAGAACGGUUUCCGCUUCGGGGGACAAAGUGACAGGUGGUGCAUGGCUGGUCGGUUCAGCUCGUGUCUGGAAUGCUGGUUAAGGUUCCCGCAACGGAGUCGCCAACCCCUAUG